AUUGAACGCUGGCGGAAUGCUUUACACAUGCAAGUCGAACGGCAGCACGGACUUCGGUCUGGUGGCGAGUGGCGAACGGGUGAGUAAUAUAUCGGAACGUGCCCAGUCGUGGGGGAUAACGUAGUGAAAAUUACGCUAAUACCGCAUACGAUCUAUGGAUGAAAGCGGGGGACCUUUGGGCCUCGCGCGAUUGGAGCGGCCGAUAUCAGAUUAGGUAGUUGGUGGGGUAAAGGCUCACCAAGCCAACGAUCUGUAGCUGGUCUGAGAGGACGACCAGCCGCACUGGGACUGAGACACGGCCCAGACUCCUACGGGAGGCAGCAGUGGGGAAUUUUGGACAAUGGACGCAAGUCUGAUCCAGCCAUUCCGCGUGCAGGACGAAGGCCUUCGGGUUGUAAACUGCUUUUGUACAGAACGAAAAGGUCUCUAUUAAUACUAGGGGCUCAUGACGGUACUGUAAGAAUAAGCACCGGCUAACUACGCGCCAGCAGCCGCCGUAA
This 500-nucleotide ribosomal RNA is filed under the name uncultured bacterium. Its description in RNAcentral is "partial 16S ribosomal RNA". It matches the Rfam family "Bacterial small subunit ribosomal RNA", at positions 30 to 523 of the family's 1533-position model. The record is from RNAcentral.